Molecule: transfer RNA, 68 nt
Filed under: Nannophya pygmaea
Lineage: Eukaryota; Metazoa; Arthropoda; Insecta; Odonata; Libellulidae
Description: tRNA-Trp
Source: RNAcentral
AAGACUUUAUGUUAAAUAAACAAUUAACCUUCAAAGUUAAAAAUGUAAGUAUACUCUUGUAAGUCUUA